RNAcentral lists this long non-coding RNA (601 nucleotides) under Equus asinus (donkey). RNAcentral's name for it is "lncRNA (ENSEASG00005027494.1)". Lineage: Eukaryota; Metazoa; Chordata; Mammalia; Perissodactyla; Equidae. The record is from RNAcentral.
CCGAUGCCUUGAUCUUGGACUUCCAGCCUCCAGAGCGCUGCAUGCAGAUGACAAGGCCCAAGGGGAUGGCAGAGCCACAAGAUGGAAAGGGCCUGGGUUCUUAAAUGUCCGUGUGGAGGAGAGAUGCUUCUCUGGCCUGACCACCCAGCCAGGACUGGUACUCUGUAAGAAGCCGUCUUCUGUGGUGUUUAGAUCGAGUGGGUGCUACAAUGGAGCCCGCCCUGACUGCUAUUCCUGUAAUGCAAACCCGAGUGCAGGUAUUGGUGUGCCCACUGGAGGUGUCGGAGUGAAGGAGACAGACUGGGUGCAGGAUCUCAUCGAGUUCACGGCCAAAGUCAAUUAUUGCGUGGUCUGUGCUCUGAGAGGGGCCCUUCUUUGGGGCGUGACAGAGCACUUCCUGGAGGAAGCAGAGGUCUGAUGGAUGUUUUAUUAGUCACCUAGAGCUGCCUUAACAGACACCAGCAGCUGGGUGGCACACAACAACACAAGUUUAUUCUCUCACAGUUCCUGAGUCUAGAAGUCCCAAAUCCAGGCAUUGGCCGGGCCGUGCUCCUUCUGCAGGCUCUGGGGAGAGUCUGUUCCACGCCUCUCUCCUAGUUUC